GGCUAAAAAUAGAACAUAACGGGUAAAAUGUAGAUUUUGGCUUAUAACUCUGAUACCAAAGCAUUUAGAGCAAAUCUGACAUGGGGUAAAUAAAGGCAACAGUAGUAUACCGCUGUUCAAACUCAUAAAUAUAUGGACAAAAAACAAAAUCGGGAUAACAAACUAAAACUGAGAGAAACGCACCAAACAUAAGAGGAGAACAACGACACAACACUACAAUGUAACACACACAGAAACGGAUAAAAUUGUUUCUCAGAUGAAGAUCUAUCUGCCCUGAAAUUUUCAGACAAAUCUGACAACCAGUUGUUGGGUUGCUGCCCCU
Molecule: long non-coding RNA, 322 nt
Filed under: Mytilus galloprovincialis (Mediterranean mussel)
Lineage: Eukaryota; Metazoa; Mollusca; Bivalvia; Mytilida; Mytilidae
Source: RNAcentral